GAAACACUCUGCCUCUCUAUCCUCCAUUGCUGCAAUUAUUUCUCACCUUAAGCUAAGCACACUCAUUUCCCCAUUGAAGAAGGGAGAAGCUCAAGGGAACAUUGGUGUAGAGGUUCAAGAGAAGCUUGUACGAGCAUGAUCUCAAGAAUUUAGCACUUUGGUGAUCAAGUGAAAGCAAGAUUGUCCAGGUAAAUGAACAUGGAAGUCGGGGCAGAUCCUAUGUGGCUUUGGCAUGUGUAUUGGGUGAGGACUAAAG
Humulus lupulus (European hop) is the source of this 256-nucleotide long non-coding RNA. RefSeq lists it as uncharacterized. NCBI's taxonomy places the organism in Eukaryota, Viridiplantae, Streptophyta, Magnoliopsida, Rosales, Cannabaceae. The record is from RefSeq and is a predicted model, not a curated record. The transcript is spliced from 3 exons.